RNAcentral lists this ribosomal RNA (253 nucleotides) under uncultured bacterium. RNAcentral describes it as "partial 16S ribosomal RNA". It matches the Rfam family "Bacterial small subunit ribosomal RNA", at positions 524 to 776 of the family's 1533-position model. The record is from RNAcentral.
UACGUAGGGUGCAAGCGUUGUCCGGAAUUAUUGGGCGUAAAGAGCUCGUAGGCGGUCUGUUGCGUCGGCUGUGAAAACCCGGGGCUCAACUCCGGGCCUGCAGCCGAUACGGGCAGACUGGAGUUCGGCAGGGGAGACUGGAAUUCCUGGUGUAGCGGUGAAAUGCGCAGAUAUCAGGAGGAACACCGGUGGCGAAGGCGGGUCUCUGGGCCGAUACUGACGCUGAGGAGCGAAAGCGUGGGGAGCGAACAGG